Long non-coding RNA from Myxocyprinus asiaticus (Chinese sucker), 403 nucleotides. RefSeq lists it as uncharacterized. The transcript is spliced from 3 exons. The record is from RefSeq and is a predicted model, not a curated record. NCBI's taxonomy places the organism in Eukaryota, Metazoa, Chordata, Actinopteri, Cypriniformes, Catostomidae.
AAUGGAGAGGAUGAGGAGGGUCAACUGCCAGCCGUACACAAAUGAUAUGAUGAUGGCAGUGCCCAGGUUUGCCACAUUCUGAGCCAAUGUUGCCAUUCUCACUCCGGUGGCCUGUAGGGAAAGCAAUCUUUCUCUGAAGUGCUUCUGGAUUUCUGUCUGUAUAGUGUGUGUUCAUUCAAAGAGCUGACUGAUGGACUUUUCUCAUCCAAAGUUAUCACCUCUUUGCUCUCCUCAGCAUCCUCUGAACUCUUAAACAUCUAAAUGUACACAACUGGAUAUGGAGAUCAUGUGUGUGGAUUUCUCCCAUGGUACAGUAGGCUUCUAACCUGCAUUGUGACGAGGGAGUGGUAGAUUCCCUUUCUUUCCAUUAGUUCAUCAUGUGUGCCCAGUUCUACUAUUUCAC